Molecule: ribosomal RNA, 497 nt
Filed under: uncultured bacterium
Lineage: Bacteria
Description: partial 16S ribosomal RNA
Rfam family: Bacterial small subunit ribosomal RNA
Source: RNAcentral
GAUGAACGCUGGCGGCGUGCCUAAUACAUGCAAGUCGAGCGAACGGACGAGAAGCUUGCUUCUCUGAUGUUAGCGGCGGACGGGUGAGUAGCACGUGGAUAACCUACCUAUAAGACUGGGAUAACUUCGGGAAACCGUAGCUAAUACCGGAUAAUAUUUUGAACCGCAUGGUUCAAAAGUGAAAGACGGUCUUGCUGUCACUUAUAGAUGGAUCCGCGCUGCAUUAGCUAGUUGAUAAGGUAACGGCUUACCAAGGCAACGAUGCAUAGCCGACCUGAGAGGGUGAUCGGCCACACUGGAACUGAGACACGGUCCAGACUCCUACGGGAGGCAGCAGUAGGGAAUCUUCCGCAAUGGGCGAAAGCCUGACGGAGCAACGCCGCGUGAGUGAUGAAGGUCUUCGGAUCGUAAAACUCUGUUAUUAGGGAAGAACAUAUGUGUAAGUAACUGUGCACAUCUUGACGGUACCUAGUCAGAAAGCCACGGCUAACUACGUG